RNAcentral lists this ribosomal RNA (301 nucleotides) under uncultured bacterium. RNAcentral's name for it is "partial 16S ribosomal RNA". It matches the Rfam family "Bacterial small subunit ribosomal RNA", at positions 509 to 809 of the family's 1533-position model. The record is from RNAcentral.
CAGUCGCCGCGGUAAUACGUAGGUGGCAAGCGUUGUCCGGAAUUAUUGGGCGUAAAGCGCGCGCAGGUGGUUUGUUAAGUUGGAUGUGAAAUCCCCGGGCUCAACCUGGGAACUGCAUCCAAAACUGGCAAGCUAGAGUAUGGUAGAGGGUGGUGGAAUUUCCUGUGUAGCGGUGAAAUGCGUAGAUAUAGGAAGGAACACCAGUGGCGAAGGCGACCACCUGGACUGAUACUGACACUGAGGUGCGAAAGCGUGGGGAGCAAACAGGAUUAGAUACCCCUGUAGUCCCUGUCUCUUAUAA